ACUCAAAGGAAUAGACGGGGGCCCGCACAAGUGGUGGAGCAUGUGGUUUAAUUCGAUGAUACGCGAAGAACCUUACCAGGGCUUGACAUCCCAUGCAUAGCAUAGAGAUAUGUGAAAUUUCUUCGGAGACAUGGAGACAGGUGCUGCAUGGCUGUCGUCAGCUCGUGUCGUGAGAUGUUGGGUUAAGUCCCGCAACGAGCGCAACCCUUAUUCUUAGUUGCUAGCGAGUUAAGUCGAGCACUCUAAGGAGACUGCCUGUGAUAAGCAGGAGGAAGGCGAGGAUGACGUCAAGUCAGCAUGGCCCUUACGUCCUGGGCUACACACGUGCUACAAUGGCCGGUACAGCGGGUUGCUAAGCCGCGAGGUGGAGCCAAUCCCUCAAAGCCGGUCUCAGUUCGGAUUGGAGGCUGCAAUUCGCCUCCAUGAAGUUGGAAUCACUAGUAACCGCAGAUCAGCUACGCUGCGGUGAAUGCGUUCCCGGGCCUUGUACACACCGCCCGU
Molecule: ribosomal RNA, 501 nt
Filed under: uncultured bacterium
Lineage: Bacteria
Description: bacterial SSU rRNA
Rfam family: Bacterial small subunit ribosomal RNA
Source: RNAcentral